This 333-nucleotide long non-coding RNA is filed under the name Homo sapiens (human). RNAcentral describes it as "non-protein coding lnc-EPDR1-2:1". The record is from RNAcentral. Lineage: Eukaryota; Metazoa; Chordata; Mammalia; Primates; Hominidae.
CUGAUUGACCUGGCUCCUUCUCUGAGUUCUUAUGGUCAAAUGGCCAAUGCACAUGUAUGGCCCCACAGAUAUUCUUGAAAGAAAGUAUGGGUGCCACCUGGUCCCCUCAACAGUGUGUUUGCUCUUAUACACUGCACUGCAAUUUGCAACUAUGUGGGUUCUACCAUAUAGUUGUCAUUAAAGGAAUCCUCCCAAAAUGGACAAAUGGCAUGAUUAUAUUCCUGAAGAAUUAUGUAGCAGGUUCUGGUUGGAAACAUAAGGAUCCAACCUUACGAAAGGAAAGAGCCAGUGAAGUAACCUGAAAACCAAGCAAGUGUGAGGAGGUGUCAUAAA